This 465-nucleotide ribosomal RNA is filed under the name Vreelandella stevensii. RNAcentral describes it as "partial 16S ribosomal RNA". It matches the Rfam family "Bacterial small subunit ribosomal RNA", at positions 338 to 795 of the family's 1533-position model. Lineage: Bacteria; Pseudomonadati; Pseudomonadota; Gammaproteobacteria; Oceanospirillales; Halomonadaceae. The record is from RNAcentral.
CCUACGGGGGGCAGCAGUGGGGAAUAUUGGACAAUGGGGGCAACCCUGAUCCAGCCAUGCCGCGUGUGUGAAGAAGGCCCUCGGGUUGUAAAGCACUUUCAGUGAGGAAGAACGCCUGGUGGUUAAUACCCAUCAGGAAAGACAUCACUCACAGAAGAAGCACCGGCUAACUCCGUGCCAGCAGCCGCGGUAAUACGGAGGGUGCGAGCGUUAAUCGGAAUUACUGGGCGUAAAGCGCGCGUAGGUGGCUUGAUAAGCCGGUUGUGAAAGCCCCGGGCUCAACCUGGGAACGGCAUCCGGAACUGUCAAGCUAGAGUGCAGGAGAGGAAGGUAGAAUUCCCGGUGUAGCGGUGAAAUGCGUAGAGAUCGGGAGGAAUACCAGUGGCGAAGGCGGCCUUCUGGACUGACACUGACACUGAGGUGCGAAAGCGUGGGUAGCAAACAGGAUUAGAUACCCUGGUAGUU